Molecule: RNA transcript, 5746 nt
Organism: Myiozetetes cayanensis
Lineage: Eukaryota; Metazoa; Chordata; Aves; Passeriformes; Tyrannidae
Gene: IQCB1
Gene name: IQ motif containing B1
Exons: 15
Source: RefSeq, a predicted model, not a curated record
AGCGCCCGAGGGGGCCCCGCGGUGCGGGCGCUUCGCGGCACCGGCGCCGCCGCUCCCGGGGGCCGGGGGGGCUCCCGGGGGGCGCCGGUGGGAGAGGGCAUCUGUCCCUCGCUCUCUCGCCCCCUCCCUCUGCCGAGGCUGAGGUGCGGCCGCGCUCGGGGCCGCCCGGCCGGAGCCCCGGGCUGCCGGCAGAGCCGGUCCGGCCGCCCGCGGCCUGGGGAAGCAGCGCGGUCGGGUCUCCCUCCAUGUUUGUUUCCUUCCCCAGGGGCAGACGGGCGGCCCGAGGCUUCCAGCCGGUGGUGCAGGAGCUGGAGGUGGGAUGGAGGUAGUGGCGUGAGGACCCCGCGCCAGCACCGACACAAUUAGGGAGAAAAGAGGCUGGAAUCGCGGGUGGUGCGCGCCUGUGGUCGCUCCCCAUGGCAGCUGCGGACCCCCAGGUCCUGGCCUUGGCUGCUCAGGUCACUGAGAGCGGGGAACAGGACAUCCCCCUGCUGCUGCUGAAGUUAAAGGGAAUUUUAAGUAGCCCUUCCUUGGGAUGUGAAGAAUCAAAAAAAAUUAAGCAAGAUAUAUAUGAUUAUGGUCUCACUCAGUACUGCUUGCUGGUCCUUAGGCAAGACCACUCUCGACUGCGGGGAGGCUGGGCCACUGCUGCCCAGCUAGCAGAGAUACUAAGUCAUUGUUGUGUAGGGCUAGAGAUGAAAGAAGAUCCUGAAGAAUUUUACAAGAAUUUUCUUCCUUCAGCUGUAGACAACCUGCUGGUCUUGGGAAAACGCUUGCAAGUGCGAUUUGUCCGAGCAAUCAAGGAUAAAGAAAAACAAGAUUUUUUACACUGGUUCCAGACAGUAACCGAUGCCAUCUGCUGGCUGUUUGGUGGGCACAUUCAACUAGCAGCGUGUGUACUGCAAAAUGAUCGCUUCCUGCAGCUGUUAAUAACAGAUGAUGUUGAAACAGCAGUUAUAAUGAUGGCUGUUUUACACAAUAUUUUGAGGAUCAAUAGUUCUGUCUUCCUUCAAGUUGAUAAAGUGACCCUUCACUCUAUUUUGGAUGAGCUUGUUUAUAAGCUUUCAGCUACCACCAAUCCUGCUGUUGGAAGUGCUGCCACAAAACUGCUGUUGGUGGUGGCAAAAUUGAGCAAACAGCUUGUGCAGUUACUCACAGCUCGCUACAAAGGAUUAAAAGGGCUUUUAAAUAAACAGUGGACUGGCAAAGGAUUUGACAGGGAGCUCAAUCAGCUCUUGGACGUGCUGUAUUUGGAACAAUCCAAUGGAAAAGGAGAAAUGCAGAAGCAGCAUCAAGCAGCUUGUAUAAUCCAGGCUACGUGGAGGGGAUUUCAGACAAGGAAAAGGCUGAAAAAGCUACCCCAAGCAGUGACCACGUUACAGAGAAGCUUCAGAGCUAAACGGGAACAGGAGCUGCAACACUUAGCAAAACAGAAGGAAGAUGAGGCUCUAAAACUGCAAAUGCAACUUCAGAGACAGAGGGCCAUGAGACUCUUCCAUGAACGACAGCUGGCCUUGCUGGAAAGAGUCCAUGCCAGUCAGGUAAAUAAAUACAUGGAGGAAAUGGAGGAUAAAUCAGCAUUAACUAUCCAGAGAUUCUGGCGAGGGUAUAGAGCAAGAAGAAUUUUUCAUCAACAGAAACAAUCUCUUAAGGAGUAUAAAGCAGCUGUCAUCAUUCAGAGAACAGCUUGUAAAUUCUUGGAAAAACGAAGAAGGAGGAGACCCCUCUCUCCUUGGAAAGAACCCAAGGGACUGACUGAUGAGCAGAGACUAGCUUUGCAGCAGAAGGUGGAUGACUACAUCAAAUUGCAUCCGGCUUCCCAAAUGUCAGAAGAAAUGAGUAAAGAAUUACACAUGCAGGCUCAGGAAAAGCUGGCACAGUUCCUGUUGAGGAGCAGGCUGGAUCAGAGAGCAGCGCAGAGGAGAGAGACAUUACUGGCUCAGGUCAACACCGAUGUGGAGCUGCUAAUGAAUGCUCCGGGAUUAGCAGAGACCACAGAAAAAGAUAUUGGUGUCUUUGUGAGUCGGUCAGUCCCUGUAGCUACCAAGGCAAGACAAUCCCACAACACUAUGCUGAAAUACACUCACUGGCCAUGGUGGAAGAAGCUUGGAGAUGAGUUUAUGGAGGAUGAUACACUUCCUGAUGAGGCCCUAAAUACAGAACUGGAAACUCUCUUUAUUGGUGGAAGAAAAUCCUUAAAGUAAAAAGCAGAAGAAUUCCAUAUUCAGCCAGACUCAUACCUUGCACUAUGCACUUACUUUUUUGUAUUUUUAAGGAAGGAAAACAUUUGAAAAAGACUAAAAAAUACCAAAGCCUCAUUUUAGUAUAUUUUACUUGGAUUCUUGGAAAGAAUCCCUUCCUGUACAUCAACAGUUGGAUCCUAUUGAUCUGGUUGCAAAUAGGAUUUAAAUACUGUAGUUGUAAAUGAGGAUAUUUUGUGAUUUGUAUCACUUUAAAGGUAAGUUCAUAACCUUUGUCUUUUCAAUUCUUAUUCACACUGGGAUGCAUAAAAAAUCAAACCUGGGCUUUUAUAGCAAAAUAUUUUUAUCAGGUGAUGUGCUUUGAAAUAAAGAUGGGUUCAGAACAAAACAAGAAAGCAAUACAAAAUCAAACAAACAAUAAACAGUCUGGGUGCUUUCUCUGUAUUCCUCCCAGGCUACCUCUCCUUGCUUCCACCUUCUUGUAAGCUCCCUCUUGUUUGAGUUUGUGCAGAAGUUUCAUUUUCAUCCAUGAAGGCCUCAUGGUGUUUUUAUCUGACUUGCUUUUUGUUGGGAUGUAUUGCCCCUGAGCUUGGAGAAGAAGGUGAUCCUUUAAUAUUAACCAGCUUUCUUGGGCCCAUCUUCCCUCCAGGGCUUUAUUCCAUGGUACUCUACCAAGCAGGUCCCUCCAGAGGUCAGUCUGCUCUCCUGAAGUCCAGGGUAGUGAGCUUGCUGUGCACCCCAUUGCCAGCCUUAGGGUCUUGAACUCCACCAUUUCAUGGUCACUGCAGCCAAGGCAGCCCUUGAGCUUCACAUUCCUCACCAGCUCCUCCCUGGUGGUGAGAACAAGCUACAGAACUGCACCUCUCCUUGUUGUCUCCUCUGUCUCUUGGAGAAGGAAGUUAUCAUCAGUGCAUUUGGGAACCUCCUGGAUUGCUUGUUCCUUGCUGUGUUGUCCCUCUAACAGGUAUCGGGGUGGUUUAAGUACCCCAUGAGGACCAGGGCUUGUGAAUGUGAGACUGUUCCUUUCUGUCUGUAGAGGGCUUCACCAGCUUGGUUUUCCUGUUGGGGCAGCCUAUAGCAGACCACCACUAUAAUGUCACCACUCCCUGCACUCCCUUUAAUCCUGACCCGUAAACUCUGUCAGCUCCUCAUCCAUCUCCAGAGCAAGCUCCAUGUACUCCAGUUGGUCACUGACAUAGAAGGCAACAACCUCACCUCAUCUCCCCUGCCUGUCCUUCCUAGAGAGCCUUUGUCCUUCCAUUCCAAGAGCCCAGUCAGAGAAGCCAUCCCUCUCUUCUCUGUGAUGUCAAUAAGGUCACAGCCCUACAGGUGUGUAUAUCUCUCUAACUCCUCUUGUUUAUUCCCCAUGCUGUGUGCAUUUGCACAGGGACAUUGAAGUUGGGUCCCUGGUGAGACUUGACUCACUGGCUGGAGUGGCUGCAAUUCCUUUGUGCUGCUCUUCAGGUGCUCUUCUGCACACUUGUGCUCCCUAUCCAGACUCUAGGCUUCUCUUGCUGGCUCUGGCAUCAAACUGGAACAAGUGGGAUGGAUGGAGGUUCCUCUCCCCUGGCAACUGUAGUUUAAAGCCCUCUUCACCAGCUGGGCAAGCCUGUGACUGAAGAUGCUCUGCCCGAUGGACCCAUGAGCCCCCAGCAGCCCAGGUUCCUUGAGACUAAUAGGUCAUCAGUGCUCCCUUGGGCUGCUUUUCUCCUUUAAAAGCCUGCAGUUCUUCCCACAGCCAGUGCAGUGCACGGGAGCAUGGGCACAGUCCAAACUCCUACGUGGGAUUGUAGCCUCAGUGUGACCAUCUGGACCAUCAGCUCUGUCUUCUUAAACCAUGCAGAAGUUGUUUAAUCCAGAAAGGUCUCCAGCCCAGGGCCUCUGCAGUCACUGUGGCCCAGAAGACAGUAAACACCUCCAGUCAGGGGCUGAAGGAUCCUGCCCAGAACAAGAACUUGAGACUGCACUAGUGCCACAGGCAGAGCAAGCCAGAAAGGAGCCACUAAAUGCCGAGGCAGAGCUGGGAGAUGUUCUCAAAUGCCAGUUGCUGUGGCCAGCUUGGAGCCUGGGCCCAGAAAAAGAGACCUCCAGGCUCCCUUGCGGGGAGGGAUUUGGCAUAGCUUAACUCAUCGUCUUUUCGAGUCCUGCACUGUGUGCACCAGGACAUGUUGCUGGCAUUUUAUUUCACUGCAGCUCUUUCUGGAAUAAAGUACGCCUGAAUAAUAGGAACAGCUGAACAGAAGCCAUCUCCAGCUUGCUACCAGCUAUACAGGAGUGUUAUUGCUUCAGCUUCAGCAGCAGCAGACAAUCUGGAAAACAAAAUCCUCUGGUGGAUAUGGAUAAAAUGGAAGGGACGGUGACUGUUCUUCUGCCAAAGGUGCCACCAAAGUCAUGGAGCUGGAAGAAGGCAGCAAAGGAACAAAAUAAACAAACAAAGAAUUACUCAGCCCUUUCAGAGACAGAGACAAGGCAGUGUCCUCUGCUGGCUCCUGAAAUUGAGGAAAAUUCCUGUUUAUGCAGACAGAUUUUUUUUUCAGCUGUAGCUGUAACUGGACUCUGAAAACAACAGGAUGCUCAUCUCCAGCAGAGACACAGGCAUGCGCUCAAGACUGUGCUGCUGAGUCCAAGGGCGUCUCCUGGCCUUUCAGACUGGCUGUAACAGGAGCUCUGAGCUGAGGACAGGAGAUAACCCUGAUGCUAUUUCACCCUUUGCCUCUGAUCCUUCUAUGGCCGAUUUCCAUGGGAGCAGAAUCUGGUACAAGCAUCUGCUCUCCACUGCAGAGUAUCACGUAUAUCGAGUACAGGGAGAAAUGAAAGCUUUCUCCUAGUAGCAGAAUCGGGGCUAUUUAUAAAUUAUCCUUCAUCAUAAAAGGAGGCAGCUCUUUGCAGGGGGAGCUGCAAAGACCAUUGCAAAACAGGCCUCCAAGUUCUUCUUAUCCUUCUUUACAGCACAAUAGCACCAGGUCAUCCUCCAGGCAUCCUUGUGUACAGUGAAGAACCCUUUAAUAAAGAGAUUGUUUACUACAUGAGUGAUAUAAGGGCCAGACUGACCAAGGGGAACUGAAGGACAGUUGCCUCCCAUCCCUUCUCCGCUGCUCUCCCUGAAGGUAGGGCUGGGUUUACUCCAGAUGCUGUCUUGGGACAGAAUGACAAAGUCUGGCAGGUGAGGACCAAGGUCAGGACAUCGCAGCUCUGGCAAUUUUUCCCAGUUGUGCUGGAGAACUCCUCUGUGACCUUGAGCACACAUUGUUUCUCUCUUUUCCUCUCGCAGAUGAGGCUUAUUGUUGCAUUUGUAAUUUAAGAGCCUUCAGUGGAGGAUGCUGUGAGACCAGUACCACUGAAAUCUCUGAAUGGGAGGUACUAAGCUGAAAUGGGAGUUUGACAGGCCCUGGAAAGAAAAAAUACUUGUAUAAUCAGAUGUUGAGCACAUAGAAAGAGCUCAAGGUUGCCAUGCUAUUUAUUUCUCUCCACAUUCAACUUUUCUCUGCAGAAUUUAGUUCUUCUCCACUUACAUCCUCAAACAGAAGCAAUGUCUUUACCUGGGC